AACGUAGGGGACAAGCGUUAUCCGGAUUUACUGGGCGUAAAGCGCCCGUAGGCGGCUUUUUAAGUUGGACGUGAAAGCUCCCGGCUUAACUGGGAGAGGCCGUUCAAAACUGAGAGGCUAGAGUGAGGCAGAGGAGCGCGGAAUUCCCGGUGUAGUGGUGGAAUGCGUAGAUAUCGGGAGGAACACCAGUGGCGAAAGCGGCGCUCUGGGCCUAAACUGACGCUGAGGGGCGAAAGCGUGGGGAGCGAACGGGAUUAGAUACCCCGGUAGUCCACGCCGUAAACGAUGGAGACUAGGUGUAGGCGGAUAGAACCCCGUCUGUGCCGAAGCCAACGCGUUAAGUCUCCCGCCUGGGGAGUACGGCCGCAAGGUUAAA
Molecule: ribosomal RNA, 376 nt
Filed under: uncultured bacterium
Lineage: Bacteria
Description: bacterial SSU rRNA
Rfam family: Bacterial small subunit ribosomal RNA
Source: RNAcentral